AGGCGACGGGCCGCGAGCGCUCCCGAGAGGCUUUGCGGGGCUCGGAAGCUUCUGCCCGCGCGGAGAUAAACAAGCACCGCGACCGCCGAGCAGCGCCGAACCCAGCGCGCCCAGUCAGACCCCAGGGCCUGUGUACCGAGCAUGCGCAGUUCCCGCCCAAGCCAGGAGCAGCGUCAACCUGAGACUCCCGAGACAUUAAGAAUUCGGAAGGGAUGAGAUGGUAGAGGGGCUAGAGCUACCUCCAAGCUUUAUCCUGAGGCGGGGAGUGAAGGAGAGAUGCCCAAGGCCCAAGAGGGGCCGCGAGGGCCUUUGUCCGAUGCCACCCAGUCUGUCAGCACUCCUAGAGCUUUGGUUUUAUCUUGUAUUAGCAUGUGAAGCUUUAAGGGGGGGGCACCUACAGGCUUCUGACUGAAGUUGUGUAAACGCAACAAAAUGAAGCUUUGGAGCGUUAGGACAUUGAUGGGAGGGUGACGCCCCCCUCUAGCAGCGCGCCAGAGGGGCGAGUCAGAGGCGGCCACACACCACGGAAGUCGGGUCCAAGCCCGCUGACGUCGCCGGGGUCCCGCCCACCAACCCUCUGGACCCGCCCACAUUUCUUCUAGACCCGCCCCUUUCGGUGCCGAACUGAAGUCGAGCUCUUCCCACGCCCUGUCAGCCACGGGUGAGUUGAAAACCUGGAGAGCGGAAUCCCGAACGGCAGCCGGAAGGCCCUGGACUCCUCAUAGCAACAGCCAGCUAGGGGCAUCUAGUGGGAAGCUGGGAUUCAUUCUAGCCAACCACAUCACGUCUCUGUACCACAAGGUACCAUUCACGACCAAUAAGAGAGCGCCCCCAUACCACGUGCCUUUACUCCUUCAACCAAUCGAGAAAAACGCUAGUCGUAGGAUCCGCAAGCCCACCUCCCAGUGCCUUGCCAGGCGGGGCUCUUCGCGCACGCUCUGCCAACCAAUCGUAGGUGAGCUGGCGAGUGACGGAAGCUUCGGCCAAGCCAACCAGAGCUCGCGAGCCCCUUGCCACCGAGGCCGGCGGGAUGGAGACAGGGACCGGCUGCUGGGGUUUGGGAGGGGCAGAGAUUGAGGAGCCAGUUGCUGUGCCCUGUUCUGGCAAAAGAACAAGAUGCGUUGCAAGCCAGAAUGAUGAAUUCCACUUUUCACGUCGCCUCCGUGGCAUUCUGCCUAAAUGAUGGGCAUGGAAAUGGUGCUGAGGGAUGUGGGCUGAAUCGAGAACACAGGGACUUUUGUCUUCAGGGUGAGAAAUGUUCCGGUCCUUAAGGAAACAUCGUGCAGCAGUUGCAUGGGUCUUCCAGGCGUUCCUCCCAAAACAUUAUUUUUUUUCUUUCACUAUUGAGUUUUAAAACUUAGCGUUCUGUCGCUAGCAUUGCAUCUUAGUUACACAUCCUCUCCCACCCAUAACGUCAAAUUUAGGAGACGAUACAUCCCCAAGCUUUCCUGCAUUAUUUUUUGCAGUAACUGGUUAUUCAGUUUACUUUCUUUAAACUAUGUCCUUCUCAAACUAGUCUCACCUGUUCGUUACUGUCGCACAUUUCCUGCGAAUAACACGUUUCUGUAGUUCUGUUGUUAGAGCCUGGCAUACCUCUCCCCGUUCCUCUUUCCCACAAGGUCAUCAUGCAGAGGGGAUUUUGGUCUGAGUUAAAAGCCAGGUAUUCUUUCACCAUCUUUUCUGUCGAUAGUCAAACUACUACAAAGACUACUCAAAUUUAGUAGUUUCUUAUUUCCCUAUAGCUUCGUUAUAUUAGAAUGGAUAACUUAUAUUUGCAUUACCUUGCUGUAAUGAACACACACCAAGUUUUCAUUUAAAAUUAUCAAGGACAAAUGUCCUCUGAAUUUAAAAAUGUGUAUGUAGUAAAAUAUAACUCAGCAUUUCUUGAUUACAUAUCAUUAAAAUAUGAAUGGUACUAUCUGAGCCACCAGAAUCAGCAGUGAAGGUAUUAUAUUAAUAAAAAGGACUAAGAAUCAGGACUGUUUUAAGGGAACUGGAACCGAAGAGGAUCUACUAUUUCAUCCUAGGCUAGUUAACAUGAAAUAGUGAAUUAAAAUUGAAAGAGCUUACAUGGAUGCUUCAUAUCUGAGCUACUUUGGCAGGGAUGUUUCAAGAGGAUGUAGGGAACAGUGUGUUCUGUACUAAAGGAAAACCCCUGCUUGGAACAAAGGUGUUGCUGAGUAGUUCUGCCAGAGACUUUCAUUUCAAAGGCAGAAUUUUAUUUCACAGGAAAUGUGAAUCUGAAAGUAUUUUACUAGUAAUUAGCUUUUAAAAUAGCAAGUGACUUCAUGUUCUUCAUUUAUGCUUGGAAGCUGGACAUGGAAUUUGUGGGGAAUUUUUCUGACUUUUGUGAAAUUGUUAGGGACACGCCAUAUUCUAGCUAAGAAAUAAAGAUGUACCAAACUCGGCUUUCACCUGAGACAUCACCCACUGCCUACGGAACAGUCCUAAGGCGAUGGUGAGCCAAGAUAUUAAGGGAUAUCAACUAAGUGUCCUGAGUUGGUGAUGUUCUAGCGGGGACCCCAGCUCCUUGUACUUUCAUCCUCAUCUCCAGUGAAAUUCUCACAGGAUUCAUCAUCAUGACAGCACUCGCUAAGUGUUCAAUCUUCUUGUCCUCAUUUGUAGAUGGUAAAACUGAGACACAGAGAGGUUAAAGGUCUGGCCAAAGGCUCACAGUUAGUAACUAGUGGGAGACAAGAUUGGUGCCUAGGCAAUCUGACCUCAAAGCCACUUCUCUUCCCAUAUUUGAAGACAUUAAACUGGGACAUUGGCGUGAGUGACUGAUAUAGACAGAUUCUGUCACAUCCCUGGCUGCUGUUAUCACUGGUAUGUCAUCUGGUUCAUAAAAACCUCAUUUACAGCUCCCCAGUCUUUCUUUCCCUGUAUGUUGUUGGAUGCUCACAAUAACUUUGGAAGUCACAAGUUGAACAGGAUGGCAUCUCCAUCAGUGGGCCCACAAGUGACUUGGUGGAGUAGAGCCCCAUCUCUCACCUAUUUCCCAUUAAAUUAGCUUUACCUGCUAAGAAACAAAUUCUUUUGUUAAGCCACUGAGAUGUAUCUAUUACAACAAAUAAGAUUAUCUUAAUUAAUGCAUAUUAAUUUUAAUCUUGGAAAUCUGAUAAACAUUUAUUAAUCUUAAUAUUUACCUGUUGAUUCUUUAUUUUCUGCAUGCAAAUGAUAUUACCUGGUAAUAAUGAGCUUUGCUUAUAUUCUUUUCUAUAUUUUACACAUUUUAUUUCUUUUUCUUAUACUACAGUACUAGCUGAUGUCUCCUGUGCAAUGUUGAAUAAAACCAGCUAUGGUGUACCAUUUGCCUUGGUCUUGAUAAGGAAGGGAGUUAUUUAACAUUUUACCAUUAGCUGCUGUUCUUGGUGUAGGUAUUUUGUAUAUAUUCUUUACAAUAAUAUGAAAGUUCUCUUAUUACUAGUUUGUAAAGAGAUUUUAUCAUAAAUGGAUGUUAUUUAACGAUGUGUUUGCAUCUUUGGAAAGAUGUUUUUUCUCCAUGAAAUUGAUA
Homo sapiens (human) is the source of this 3514-nucleotide long non-coding RNA. Lineage: Eukaryota; Metazoa; Chordata; Mammalia; Primates; Hominidae. The record is from Ensembl.